Molecule: long non-coding RNA, 3414 nt
Organism: Phyllopteryx taeniolatus (common seadragon)
Lineage: Eukaryota; Metazoa; Chordata; Actinopteri; Syngnathiformes; Syngnathidae
Exons: 8
Source: RefSeq, a predicted model, not a curated record
CCCCCAGAGCCUUCCCCAGCAGCCGCGGUCCCAGAGACAAGACGCGCACCUUCACAUCGCGAUAGCAGUGGUUGACCAUGCGCAAGUGAACGUUCACCUUGGUCUCGAUGCGGAUCAGACACUUGACCAUGGUUGAAGGUUGAGAGCAGCAGUCGGACUGACAGACUGAUGGAAAAGACAAGGCCCAGGAAUGUGGUCCACUCCACCCCCCACUUCUCGUGUUGACUAUGACACACUCAGCUCAGCCCUCUCACGACGCUGCACUGAUCCACCUGUCGAUUUCCUGCUCCUUUCUUCCCUCACUUGUGAACAAGACCCUGAGAUCCUUGAACUCCUUCCCUUGGGGCAGUAUCUCAUUCCUGACGUGGAGAGGGCAUGCCACCCUUUCCAACUGAGUAGCAUGGUCUCAGAUUAAGAGGCGUCCUUGUGCACCCACUACUGUACAAGAGUGCUGGUUUGCUGUGUGUCCAGUUCAGUGAUGUUGUCUGUAACCUGAUGCAUCAUCCAUAAAGGUUGACAAGCGAAGGCGCGGUGUGAUGACAAGGUUAAAGUUAACAUCAGGGAUAUACGCAGCCAAGAGAGCAGCGUCCGAGGUCUUGCACAGCAGGCGGCCAUGGUAGAGGUCCCUCUUCACCUGCAGGAAGACCAGAUAUCUGCAGCAUGGAAGAAGACAGGCUUUUAUUGGUGUUAGUGAAGUCAAUCCAAGUGGGGGAGCUGCUUUCCCUUGUUGGCUCCGUCAAGGAAGAACCGGCCUGUGCUUGCUUUCCCCCCCACACUCCUGACUCCAAUUCAGCAAGUCCAAGUUUAAUAUAUCAUCAACAUAAAUACACAGAAGAAUCACAAGGGACCCACUUUGGUAUUCAUCUCACAUGAGCAGUGAUUAACCACCCACUCAGGACCUUUAAUACUGCACACACACAACAAACACUUGGAAACAUUGCUUGUUCAAUAGUGAUUCCUGUUUGUGCUGACAUAAGGAAUUCACUGGUCCAAAGGAAACUAAUAAUACGGAAAGAACACUGCAACUGUUUCGACAUUGCGAUCAGAUCGGAAGAAUGGCUUUCUAACUUAUUGUACAUGAGUACAGGGUGACUUUUAAUAUAGCAUCAAUCUGCCUUUGCGCUUUUUGUACUCAGGAUGCUAUCUUGCUACAGUCAUGCUCAAAAACAUAAUGACUGUCUGAUUGUCUAUCUGGUCAGAUUUCAUGUCUGACAGUCAGAGGGAAAAAAACAAAAAAUAUGCAUUCAUGGCUAAAAUCUUUAUUUUAAUAUUAUGUGUUUUUUUUUUAGCAUGACUGUAUAUGUAUAUGUAUAUGCGUGAUUCUCAAAGUGUGAUACCAGUACCACGAGUGCUGCUACGAGUUCCGUUAUAUUUACCUUUUAAGUUCAAUACAUUUGCAUUUAAUCGUUAAGAACUUGGUUUUGAAACAUUUACUUAGGUACAAAUUCUAUUUAACUUUUCUGUGCAAUGCAUUUUAAAUAAAUCCUAUUUCAAUACAAUUUAAAAUAAUAAUAAUAAAAAUUAAAAAAAAACAUUUUCCUGUAUGUUAUUGCAGUGCUAUUGUUCAAACUGUGCAUAACGUUACAGUGGCUUACACAAAUAUGAAAUAGCAUUUUUAGGAAUACAGCUUCCGCCUCAUUUUUGAUGAACAUUUGGAACUACUAUGCUACUGUAUUUGAAUGUUGGUCAUUAUUUUUCUUUGCCAAAUCUUCAGUUUUCCAGUUACUUACCCCGACAUGAGGCUGGUCUAUCGCUAGUGACAAGACCUCGCGCAAACCAACUCGACUAACGGGACGAAAGUCUCAUUUCAUCUCGUCAAUAUAUUCAGCCUGCAGGAUCCCAUUAGUGGAACAAUCCUUGAGCCUGCACUCACUCAGGGUUCAAAUAAGAGAAAGUCAUAACAUCUUACCCCAAAAAAAUCUGUUAUGUUGUCUGUCUGUAAAGCUUUGUUCAAUCUAUCGUACAUUGAUUUAUCCCACAGGCGAAUAAACUUGAUUCAUAGUCAUUUCUCCGCCGCCUCAGGGAUAUUUUAUGCGCAACACAGGUCAGUGUUAUUUGAAUGGCAUUUCAAUUUUGUGUGUUAAUAACAGUAUACUUGAGAUCUGACAAUUCUUCUAUUUCAAUGUAAAUUGCUUGGGGACUUUUAAUGUAAAUAUUAGUAUCAUUAACAAUUGGAAGAUGCUACAUGAUGAGGAUACAAUUUGGUCUUUAAAACCACAUGAUAAUAAUUACCAGUUAUUAAGUUUUUUUCUUCUUUUUUUUUUUAGUAAACUUCAUUAAAAAUCAAUGACUAAAACUGUGAGCCUGUUUUUGAAAAUGAAGUUUAACAAUAAAAAAAAGUAAUAAUGCUGGUUUUUGGCGUCUUACAAAAUUACAUUUUGAUUCUUUAGUUUGAUGCCAACAGUGAAACUGGAGUACAGACAUACCACUAACGGGCCUAAUAUGAGCCUGAUUCCAUCCUUCUAAUUAAAGUCGGCAAAGGCCUGAUUAUCGGAUGUCUCUAAGGCCCACUGCACACCGAGCGAACCUGUGUUGCCUGGGUAUGAAUACGGAAGUUUCUGCGACUCUGAUUACUGGGCCGUGGCAAAGACUCCAAGUGCACUUGUGCGGUGUCAUUACAAAAAUGCAAAAAUGCAAUUUUAAUCUUCAUAGGUGAGGUGGGGCCGUCUCGUCCAGUAGCGCCAGAAGGCGAACAGCAGCCAGUGACGUUAAUAACGUUGCUGCAACAUUCAAACACAGUGGCGGAGAUAAUUAGUUGCAGAGAUUCACCGAGCCCCUGAGACCACGACCGCGAGUCCUUUUUUUUCGUGUCACACAACACGCUGCUCACACACAACCUCACCGGUGAAAAGACAGGGCCUUUUAUUCAACAUACUUUGAAGCAUGGCAAACUGGAAAUAUGGCCAAAUUGGAGCUUUUUCCCUCCUUUGCUAUCAAAGUCUGCAAAACCUGAUUCGGGGGUGUCUCUAAAAAGAUUAUCCGGAGUGGUUCUCCUGUGGUGUGGGGUGUGUUGAGAGUGAUUUUUGUCUUUCGUCUCCUUUUUUUUCGGCAGUCUUGAUGCCCUGUGGCACCAUGCUGCCUCUCACAGGUCAAUCUUUGUACUACUUCAGUUAUCCGGUUUGUGGGAGAAUAAUGGCAAUUUUCGGUCGAAAUAUCAUUAUGUAUUUGGUGUGCUGUGUUGGUCAUCACACCAUAAGAUCAGUGAGAACAAAGUGAAUUUUGUUGAAAAAUUGGUUAAGAUGCCAACGUUAGCGCUGUUGAAUGAAAAUCUUUUGAAUGAAAUCGAUAGCGUACGAUGAAAGUGUUUCAGUGACAAGCAAAGUCACAAUUUACACACUGCAAAUUAUUUCUUGAUCACCAAGCAGGUACACCUACACUUGGCAAAAGGCUUUUUGAUUCAUGUUUGUUGUAGUA